GGAGAAUUGACAGAGCAGGUAAUGUGCGGGUUUGCUACACCCAGGCUAUCGCUCCGGCGAUACAAAGGUUCGAUUCCUUUAUUCUCCG
RNAcentral lists this transfer RNA (88 nucleotides) under Pinibacter aurantiacus. It matches the Rfam family "tRNA". Rfam says of the family: Transfer RNA (tRNA) molecules are approximately 80 nucleotides in length. Their secondary structure includes four short double-helical elements and three loops (D, anti-codon, and T loops). Further hydrogen bonds mediate the characteristic L-shaped molecular structure. tRNAs have two regions of fundamental functional importance: the anti-codon, which is responsible for specific mRNA codon recognition, and the 3' end, to which the tRNAs corresponding amino acid is attached (by aminoacyl-tRNA synthetases). tRNAs cope with the degeneracy of the genetic code in two manners: having more than one tRNA (with a specific anti-codon) for a particular amino acid; and 'wobble' base-pairing, i.e. permitting non-standard base-pairing at the 3rd anti-codon position. Lineage: Bacteria; Pseudomonadati; Bacteroidota; Chitinophagia; Chitinophagales; Chitinophagaceae. The record is from Rfam by way of RNAcentral.